This is a long non-coding RNA of Triplophysa rosa, 471 nucleotides long. RefSeq lists it as uncharacterized. The record is from RefSeq and is a predicted model, not a curated record. NCBI's taxonomy places the organism in Eukaryota, Metazoa, Chordata, Actinopteri, Cypriniformes, Nemacheilidae. The transcript has 3 exons.
AAAGGAUCGAUCGUCAUGGCAGAGCAGAGGAGGCAGAUCUCAAAUGCCUCUGUUCAGACACAAGAUGCAUUACAUAGCUUAGAUAUUACAGUGUUGUGCUCUGGAAGAAAUGCAAUGAAGCAUCCAAGGCUCAACUCACACGAUCAUUCUUUUUGAUCAUUUACAUACACUGGAUUCUUAAUAUACUGUAUAAUGUUACCUGAUUGAGCAUAAGUGAAUGUUUGUAUUUUUUGUAAUAGUCGUGUAUACGUUUCUUAAAGUUCUUUACAUCAUAAAGUCACUGUUAGAAAGGCGUACAUUAUAAGAACAUUAGGCUGAAAGCCUACACUGCUAUUUUGCACAAAUGACGGAACAAAAUACAGUUGGAUGACAUGCUUUAGUUUAAUGUUUUUUAGUAUUAUUAUGCAGUUUUCCACGUGUCUGCACAGUAAGUAAUCAACGGUAACCUUUUCAAUAUAAAAGUGAUAUCAA